GGCAUACUGCUCAGUAACACGUAGCUAACCUAACCUCAAGACGGAAAUAACCCCGGGAAACUGGGGUCAAUGUCCGAUAGAUGUGAAUUCCUGGAAUGGUAUCACAUCCAAAUGUCAGUACACCAUGUUGUACGAACGCUUGAGGAUGGGGCUGCGGCCGAUCAGGCUGUUGGUGGGGUAAUGGCCCACCAAACCUUUGACCGGUAUGGGCCAUGAGAGUGGUAGCCCAGAGAUGGACACUGAGACAAGGGUCCAGGCCCUACGGGGCGCAGCCGGUACGAAACCUCCACAAUGCACGCAAGUGCGAUGGGGUUAUCUCGAGUGCUACCUGAAGAAGGUAGCUUUUCCAUGGUCUAAAUAGCCGUGGGAAUAAGGGGGGGGCAAGACUGGUGUCAGCCGCCGCGGUAACACCAGCCCCCCGAGUGGUAGGGAUGUUUAUUUGGCCUAAAGCGUCCGUAGCCGGCUAGGUAAAUUUCUCGUUAAAUCCAACGUCCUAAGCGUUGGGCUGCGAAAAAGACUGCCAAGCUAGGGGGUGGGAGAGGUCAGCGGUAUUCCUGGGGUAGGGGCGAAAUCCAUUGAACCCAGGAGGACCACCAGUGGCGAAGGCUGCUGACUAGAACACGCCUGACGGUGAGGGACGAAAGCUGGGGUAGCGAAUCGGAUUAGAUACCCGAGUAGUCCCAGCUGUAAACGAUGCAGACUAGGUGUUGGGUUGGCCACGCGCCGACUCAGUGCCACAGGGAAGCCAUUAAGUCUGCCGCCUGGGAAGUACGGCCGCAAGGCUGAAACUUAAAGGAAUUGGCGGGGGAGCACCACCAGGCGUGAAGCCUGCGGUUUGAUUGGAGUCAACGCCGGGAACCUUACCGGGAGCGACAGCAGAGUGAAGGCCAGGCUAAAGGUCUUGCCAGACGAGCUGAGAGGAGGUGCAUGGCCGUCGCCAGUUCGUGCCGUGAGGUGUCCUCUUAAGUGAGGUAACGAACGAGACCCGCGCCGCAUGUUGCUAACAAGUCCUAAAGGGAUGUUGAGCACUCUUGCGGGACCGCAGCCGACAAGGCUGAGGAAGGUGCGGGCAACGGCAGGUCAGUAUGCCCCGAAUCUCCCGGGCCACACGCGGGCUGCAAUGGUAGGGACAGAGGGCUGCAACCCCGAAAGGGGAAGCCAAUCCCUAAACUCUACCUCAGUUGGGAUUGAGGGCUGCAACCC
RNAcentral lists this ribosomal RNA (1203 nucleotides) under metagenome. Its description in RNAcentral is "bacterial SSU rRNA". It matches the Rfam family "Archaeal small subunit ribosomal RNA", at positions 80 to 1269 of the family's 1478-position model. The record is from RNAcentral.